AACGUAGGGUGCAAGCGUUGUCCGGAAUUACUGGGUGUAAAGGGAGCGCAGGCGGAAAGGCAAGUUGGGAGUGAAAGGUUUGGGCUUAACCCAGACACUGCUUUCAAAACUGUUUUUCUUGAGUGGUGUAGAGGUAGGCGGAAUUCCCGGUGUAGCGGUGGAAUGCGUAGAUAUCGGGAGGAACACCAGUGGCGAAGGCGGCCUACUGGGCACUAACUGACGCUGAGGCUCGAAAGUAUGGGUAGCAA
Molecule: ribosomal RNA, 248 nt
Filed under: uncultured Lachnospiraceae bacterium
Lineage: Bacteria; Bacillati; Bacillota; Clostridia; Lachnospirales; Lachnospiraceae
Description: partial 16S ribosomal RNA
Rfam family: Bacterial small subunit ribosomal RNA
Source: RNAcentral